RNAcentral lists this ribosomal RNA (406 nucleotides) under uncultured bacterium. Its description in RNAcentral is "partial 16S ribosomal RNA". It matches the Rfam family "Bacterial small subunit ribosomal RNA", at positions 30 to 526 of the family's 1533-position model. The record is from RNAcentral.
AUUGAACGCUGGCGGCAGGCCUAACACAUGCAAGUCGAACGAGUGGCGGACGGGUGAGUAAUGUCUGGGAAACUGCCCGAUGGAGGGGGAUAACGACUGGAAACGGUAGCAAAUACCGCAUACCAUCGGAUGUACCCAGGUGGGAUUAGCUUGUAGGUGAGGUAACGGCUCACCUAGCGGACGAUCCCUGGCUGGUCUGAGAGGAUGACCAGCCAGACUGGAACUGAGACACGGUACAGACUCCUACGGUAGGCAGCAGUGGGGAAUAUUGCACAAUGUGCGCAAGCCUGAUCCAGCCAUGCCGCGUGGAUGAAGAAGGCCUUCGGGUUGUAAAGUACUUUCAGCGGGGAGGCGUUACCCGCAGAAGAAGCACCGGCUAACUUCGUGCCAGCAGCCGCGGUAAUUC